This 254-nucleotide ribosomal RNA is filed under the name uncultured bacterium. Its description in RNAcentral is "partial 16S ribosomal RNA". It matches the Rfam family "Bacterial small subunit ribosomal RNA", at positions 524 to 776 of the family's 1533-position model. The record is from RNAcentral.
CACGUAGGGCGCGAGCGUUGUCCGGAAUUAUUGGGCGUAAAGAGCUCGUAGGCGGCCUGUUGCGUCCGCUGUGAAAAGCCCGGGGCUUAACCCCGGGUCGGCAGUGGAUACGGGCAGGCUAGAGGUAGGUAGGGGAGAAUGGAAUUCCCGGUGUAGCGGUGAAAUGCGCAGAUAUCGGGAGGAACACCGGUGGCGAAGGCGGUUCUCUGGGCCUUACCUGACGCUGAGGAGCGAAAGCGUGGGGAGCGAACAGG